RNAcentral lists this transfer RNA (35 nucleotides) under Flaveria trinervia. RNAcentral's name for it is "partial tRNA-Phe". RNAcentral also lists the same sequence under 9 other names. Lineage: Eukaryota; Viridiplantae; Streptophyta; Magnoliopsida; Asterales; Asteraceae. The record is from RNAcentral.
UCGGGAUAGCUCAGUUGGUAGAGCAGAGGACUGAA